AUACGGAGGGUGCAAGCGUUGUCCGGAUUUAUUGGGUUUAAAGGGUGUGUAGGCGGUGCAUUAAGUCAGUGGUGAAAGCCUGCGGCUCAACCGUAGAACUGCCAUUGAUACUGACACACUUGAGUAUGGACGAGGUAGGCGGAAUUUAUGGUGUAGCGGUGAAAUGCAUAGAUACCAUAAAGAACACCGAUAGCGAAGGCAGCUUACUAGGCCAUAACUGACGCUGAGGCACGAAAGCGUGGGGAGCGAACAGGAUUAGAAACCCCAGUAGUCC
Molecule: ribosomal RNA, 274 nt
Filed under: uncultured bacterium
Lineage: Bacteria
Description: partial 16S ribosomal RNA
Rfam family: Bacterial small subunit ribosomal RNA
Source: RNAcentral